UCAUCAGUUCAAAAGGCAGUUUGCACAUCUUGAGGAGCAUCAUAGUGAGAAGGAGAAAGAGGUUCUACACUGCAAAGAGAGCAUGCUUCUUUACCAAGGUACAACAGCCAUAAAACUGAAUAUUAUUUGGCUAGAACCUGAAAUGGCGGAAACUCUCAGGAAUCAUGGUGCAACCGUGCAUGGAUCACUUGUCUAAACUAGUUACAUCGUUGUGAUUAAGAAUAAGGAUCACCUGAUGGUUGUCUCCUAUUUUCUGUUGUAGUGCAAACCGUCUAAAGCUGACUGUUGGAUGGGGUUGGCAAAGGUGUGCUUGAAUAAGGAUCACCUGAAGGCGUGGAGUCCCUGGCUGCUGGUUGUUGUGUGUCCUGGCGGGCGGCAGUUUGAGUCCCCUGCAGGCAGUGGCGGCUGUAAUAUGUACUAGUAUAGGCAUGCAGACAACAAUUGGAAAUUGUAUGAUUCAUGUGAUCAUUUUCCUUGUAUUCUUUUCUAUUGUUGGUUAUAUAUCAGAUUUUAGAA
Molecule: long non-coding RNA, 516 nt
Organism: Zea mays
Lineage: Eukaryota; Viridiplantae; Streptophyta; Magnoliopsida; Poales; Poaceae
Exons: 2
Source: RefSeq, a predicted model, not a curated record